AGUGGCGAACGGGUGAGUAACACGUGACUACCUGCCCUUGAGUGGGGGAUAACCCCGGGAAACCGGGGCUAAUACCGCAUAAUCGCAAGCAAAGGAGCGCUUUUGGAGGGGGUCGCGGCUGAUUAGCUAGUUGGUAGGGUAAUGGCCUACCAAGGCGAAGAUCGGUAGCCGGCCUGAGAGGGCGCACGGCCACACUGGAACUGAAACACGGUCCAGACUCCUACGGGAGGCAGCAGUGGGGAAUUUUGCGCAAUGGGGGAAACCCUGACGCAGCAACGCCGCGUGGAGGAUGAAGCCCCUUGGGGCGUAAACUCCUUUCGACCGGGACGAUUGACGGUACCGGUGGAAGAAGCACCGGCUAACUCUGUGCCAGCAGCCGCGGUAAUACAG
Molecule: ribosomal RNA, 390 nt
Filed under: uncultured soil bacterium
Lineage: Bacteria
Description: bacterial SSU rRNA
Rfam family: Bacterial small subunit ribosomal RNA
Source: RNAcentral